AUCCUUGUUCCAAAGACGGAGACGAAACACUGGGGCGACGAAGAAGACGACAAGCCUUUGGAGGACACGGCUACUUCGUCAACGUUGAGGCCUUGACCAUCGACGACACCAAAACGCUCAUCACUGCGGUUUUGUAAGAAAGUGGAGAUGGUAUUGAAGAGCCUCUCAACCGUCAAAAUCUAACAACAAUCCUACAGAUUGCUCUGCCCGUUUGUAAGAAAUUAGCCAUUUGAAGUAAAUUUGGAAUGAUGUCCAAGUGGCUAUCAAGGCUAUUGGAGCAUUUAAAGCCAACUGCAGUUGCUGAUGCAGGUUUGAUUUUCAAUGUGAAAAGUAAAAUGCUGUGACCACAUGACACUUCUUAAAGCUUUUGAAGGAUAGAAGGAUGCAAACCGUAAUGAAAAGAAUCCUGUCACCUUGCAAAUGACAGAGGAUAUGAGAAUGCAAUUUGUAGAUCUAUUUAGCAUUGGCUUUGUAAACAAAUUGAUGAAUACUAAUGUAAGUUCUUUAAGAUUUUCAAAUUUUAAAGCAUUUGAU
Long non-coding RNA from Quercus robur (English oak), 534 nucleotides. RefSeq lists it as uncharacterized. The record is from RefSeq and is a predicted model, not a curated record. The transcript is spliced from 4 exons. NCBI's taxonomy places the organism in Eukaryota, Viridiplantae, Streptophyta, Magnoliopsida, Fagales, Fagaceae.